UAGUGGCGCACGGGUGCGUAACGCGUGGGAAUCUGCCCUUGGGUUCGGGAUAACAGUUGGAAACGACUGCUAAUACCGGAUGAUAUCUUCGGAUCAAAGAUUUAUCGCCCAGGGAUGAGCCCGCGUAGGAUUAGCUUGUUGGUGAGGUAAAAGCUCACCAAGGCGACGAUCCUUAGCUGGUCUGAGAGGAUGAUCAGCCACACUGGGACUGAGACACGGCCCAGACUCCUACGGGAGGCAGCAGUGGGGAAUAUUGGACAAUGGGCGAAAGCCUGAUCCAGCAAUGCCGCGUGAGUGAUGAAGGCCUUAGGGUUGUAAAGCUCUUUUACCCGGGAUGAUAAUGACAGUACCGGGAGAAUAAGCUCCGGCUAACUCCGUGCCAGCAGCCGCGGUAAUACGGAGGGAGCUAGCGUUAUUCGGAAUUACUGGGCGUAAAGCGUACGUAGGCGGUUAUUCAAGUCAGAGGUGAAAGCCCGGGGCUCAACCCCGGAACUGCCUUUGAAACUAGAUAGCUAGAAUCUUGGAGAGGUCAGUGGAAUUCCGAGUGUAGAGGUGAAAUUCGUAGAUAUUCGGAAGAACACCAGUGGCGAAGGCG
Molecule: ribosomal RNA, 595 nt
Filed under: uncultured bacterium
Lineage: Bacteria
Description: bacterial SSU rRNA
Rfam family: Bacterial small subunit ribosomal RNA
Source: RNAcentral